UGAGGAAUUUUCCGCAAUGGGCGAAAGCCUGACGGAGCAAUGCCGCGUGAGGGAUGAAGGAUUUUGGUCUGUAAACCUCUUUUCUCAAGAAAGAAGUUCUGACGGUACUUGAGGAAUAAGCACCGGCUAACUCCGUGCCAGCAGCCGCGGUAAUACGGGGGGUGCAAGCGUUAUCCGGAUUUAUUGGGCGUAAAGCGCCUGUAGGUUGUUUAAUAAGUCUGUUGUUAAAGACUAGGGCUUAACCCUAGGAAAGCAAUGGAAACUACUAGACUUGAGUAUGAUAGGGGUAGAGGGAAUUUCUAGUGUAGCGGUGAAAUGCGUAGAUAUUAGAAAGAACACCGGUGGCGAAGGCGCUCUACUGGAUCAUUACUGACACUCAGAGGCGAAAGCUAGGGUAGCAAAAGGGAUUAGAUACCCCUGUAGUCCUAGCCGUAAACGAUGGAUACU
RNAcentral lists this ribosomal RNA (447 nucleotides) under Phaeocystis antarctica. RNAcentral's name for it is "bacterial SSU rRNA". It matches the Rfam family "Bacterial small subunit ribosomal RNA", at positions 355 to 817 of the family's 1533-position model. The record is from RNAcentral. Lineage: Eukaryota; Haptophyta; Phaeocystales; Phaeocystaceae.